Molecule: small RNA, 271 nt
Filed under: Staphylococcus aureus
Lineage: Bacteria; Bacillati; Bacillota; Bacilli; Caryophanales; Staphylococcaceae
Description: HMPRFS0000_2358
Source: RNAcentral
AGGACAAGGUCCGAAAGAUUUAACAGAACUUGUAUUAACAUUAGGUUCUCAAAUGGUUGUACUUGCAAACAAAGCUGAAACGCUUGAAGAAGCGAGAGCGUUGCUAAUUGAGGCAAUUAAUUCAGGUGCAGCAUUAGAAAAAUUCAAAACAUUUAUUAAAAACCAAGGUGGCGACGAAACUGUUAUUGACCAUCCAGAGCGUUUGCCACAAGCCCAAUAUCAAAUUGAAUAUAAAGCUAAAAAAUCAGGUUAUGUGACUGAAUUAGUCUCU